Molecule: ribosomal RNA, 1446 nt
Filed under: bacterium R12
Lineage: Bacteria
Description: bacterial SSU rRNA
Rfam family: Bacterial small subunit ribosomal RNA
Source: RNAcentral
GUGCCUGGCGGCAGCUACACAUGCAGUCGAGCGGUAGCACAGAGAGCUUGCUCUCGGGUGACGAGCGGCGGACGGGUGAGUAAUGUCUGGGAAACUGCCUGAUGGAGGGGGAUAACUACUGGAAACGGUAGCUAAUACCGCAUAACGUCGCAAGACCAAAGUGGGGGACCUUCGGGCCUCAUGCCAUCAGAUGUGCCCAGAUGGGAUUAGCUAGUAGGUGGGGUAACGGCUCACCUAGGCGACGAUCCCUAGCUGGUCUGAGAGGAUGACCAGCCACACUGGAACUGAGACACGGUCCAGACUCCUACGGGAGGCAGCAGUGGGGAAUAUUGCACAAUGGGCGCAAGCCUGAUGCAGCCAUGCCGCGUGUGUGAAGAAGGCCUUCGGGUUGUAAAGCACUUUCAGCGGGGAGGAAGGCGGUGAGGUUAAUAACCUCAUCGAUUGACGUUACCCGCAGAAGAAGCACCGGCUAACUCCGUGCCAGCAGCCGCGGUAAUACGGAGGGUGCAAGCGUUAAUCGGAAUUACUGGGCGUAAAGCGCACGCAGGCGGUCUGUCAAGUCGGAUGUGAAAUCCCCGGGCUCAACCUGGGAACUGCAUUCGAAACUGGCAGGCUAGAGUCUUGUAGAGGGGGGUAGAAUUCCAGGUGUAGCGGUGAAAUGCGUAGAGAUCUGGAGGAAUACCGGUGGCGAAGGCGGCCCCCUGGACAAAGACUGACGCUCAGGUGCGAAAGCGUGGGGAGCAAACAGGAUUAGAUACCCUGGUAGUCCACGCUGUAAACGAUGUCGAUUUGGAGGUUGUGCCCUUGAGGCGUGGCUUCCGGAGCUAACGCGUUAAAUCGACCGCCUGGGGAGUACGGCCGCAAGGUUAAAACUCAAAUGAAUUGACGGGGGCCCGCACAAGCGGUGGAGCAUGUGGUUUAAUUCGAUGCAACGCGAAGAACCUUACCUGGUCUUGACAUCCACAGAACUUUCCAGAGAUGGAUUGGUGCCUUCGGGAACUGUGAGACAGGUGCUGCAUGGCUGUCGUCAGCUCGUGUUGUGAAAUGUUGGGGUUAAGUCCCGCAACGAGCGCAACCCUUAUCCUUUGUUGCCAGCGGUCCGGCCGGGAACUCAAAGGAGACUGCCAGUGAUAAACUGGAGGAAGGUGGGGAUGACGUCAAGUCAUCAUGGCCCUUACGACCAGGGCUACACACGUGCUACAAUGGCAUAUACAAAGAGAAGCGACCUCGCGAGAGCAAGCGGACCUCAUAAAGUAUGUCGUAGUCCGGAUUGGAGUCUGCAACUCGACUCCAUGAAGUCGGAAUCGCUAGUAAUCGUAGAUCAGAAUGCUACGGUGAAUACGUUCCCGGGCCUUGUACACACCGCCCGUCACACCAUGGGAGUGGGUUGCAAAAGAAGUAGGUAGCUUAACCUUCGGGAGGGCGCUACCACUUGGAUCAUUUCUG